GGCCCUUCGGGGUACUCGAGUGGCGAACGGGUGAGUAACACGUGGGUGAUCUGCCCUGCACUUUGGGAUAAGCCUGGGAAACUGGGUCUAAUACCGAAUAUGACCACGCGCUUCAUGGUGUGUGGUGGAAAGCUUUUGCGGUGUGGGAUGGGCCCGCGGCCUAUCAGCUUGUUGGUGGGGUAAUGGCCUACCAAGGCGACGACGGGUAGCCGGCCUGAGAGGGUGACCGGCCACACUGGGACUGAGAUACGGCCCAGACUCCUACGGGAGGCAGCAGUGGGGAAUAUUGCACAAUGGGCGCAAGCCUGAUGCAGCGACGCCGCGUGAGGGAUGACGGCCUUCGGGUUGUAAACCUCUUUCAAUAGGGACGAAGCGCAAGUGACGGUACCUAUAGAAGAAGGACCGGCCAACUACGUGCCAGCAGCCGCGGUAAUACGUAGGGUCCGAGCGUUGUCCGGAAUUACUGGGCGUAAAGAGCUCGUAGGUGGUUUGUCGCGUUGUUCGUGAAAACUCACAGCUUAACUGUGGGCGUGCGGGCGAUACGGGCAGACUAGAGUACUGCAGGGGAGACUGGAAUUCCUGGUGUAGCGGUGGAAUGCGCAGAUAUCAGGAGGAACACCGGUGGCGAAGGCGGGUCUCUGGGCAGUAACUGACGCUGAGGAGCGAAAGCGUGGGGAGCGAACAGGAUUAGAUACCCUGGUAGUC
This 705-nucleotide ribosomal RNA is filed under the name Mycolicibacterium fortuitum. Its description in RNAcentral is "bacterial SSU rRNA". It matches the Rfam family "Bacterial small subunit ribosomal RNA", at positions 74 to 795 of the family's 1533-position model. The record is from RNAcentral. Lineage: Bacteria; Bacillati; Actinomycetota; Actinomycetes; Mycobacteriales; Mycobacteriaceae.